AUGGAGGCAGCGAAGCAGUCUAGCGAGGACAUAAGAUUGGACCGAAAUCAAGUUGCGUUUGGGAAGCGUUGUCCACUAUUACCAUUGUCGUAUCUUUUGUCAUGCUAGGGUGGUGACUGUUGAGGCCCAAGCCCUCGUUCGUCGUUCAUUUGAUUGGUGGGAUUUCUAUUGGAUGCACGCCACAGAUCAGGGAGCUUUGACGACUGCUACACCAUAUGUUAGCAGUUUGAUCAUUUCUACAUUGAAGACGAUUUUGAAUUUAAGUUUGGCAGGUGCUUGCCAAACUUAGUUGAACGUGUAAGUACUAAGGAGUACACUCCAACUAUUAAAUUUGUAUUUUGUCUACCACACUAAGUAUACAAAAUUUUGGGUUCAACCACUCCUUGGGUUCUCUCAUCCAUCUUCUUAC
Long non-coding RNA from Lolium rigidum, 409 nucleotides. RefSeq lists it as uncharacterized. NCBI's taxonomy places the organism in Eukaryota, Viridiplantae, Streptophyta, Magnoliopsida, Poales, Poaceae. The record is from RefSeq and is a predicted model, not a curated record. The transcript has 3 exons.